RNAcentral lists this ribosomal RNA (338 nucleotides) under uncultured bacterium. RNAcentral's name for it is "bacterial SSU rRNA". It matches the Rfam family "Bacterial small subunit ribosomal RNA", at positions 185 to 507 of the family's 1533-position model. The record is from RNAcentral.
CCGACCCUGGUAGGGGAAGGCGGGGACCUUCGGGCCUCGCGCUAUCAGAUGAGCCUGCGUAGGAUUAGCUUGUUGGUGAGGUAAAGGCUCACCAAGGCGACGAUCCUUAGCUGGUCUGAGAGGAUGAUCAGCCACACUGGAACUGAGACACGGUCCAGACUCCUACGGGAGGCAGCAGUGGGGAAUAUUGCGCAAUGGGCGAAAGCCUGACGCAGCCAUGCCGCGUGUGUGAAGAAGGCCUUCGGGUUGUAAAGCACUUUCAAUUGGGAAGAAAGGUUGGUAGUUAAUAACUGCCAGCUGUGACGUUACCUUUAGAAGAAGCACCGGCUAACUCCGUG